Molecule: ribosomal RNA, 468 nt
Filed under: uncultured bacterium
Lineage: Bacteria
Description: partial 16S ribosomal RNA
Rfam family: Bacterial small subunit ribosomal RNA
Source: RNAcentral
GACGAACGCUGGCGGCGUGCUUAACACAUGCAAGUCGAACGGAAAGGCCCUGCUUUUUUGGGGUGCUCGAGUGGCGAACGGGUGAGUCACCCGUGAGUAACCUGCCCUUGACUUUGGGAUAACUUCAGGAAACUGGGUCUAAUACCGGAUAGGCGCUCCUGCUGCAUGGUGGGGGUGGGAAUGUUGCGGCGGUUGGGGAUGGACUCGCGGCUUAUCAGCUUGUUGGUGGGGUAUUGGCUUACCAAGGCCUUGACGGGUAGCCGGCCUGAGAGGGUGAACGGCGACAUUGGGACUGAGGGACGGACCAGACGGCUACGGGAGGCAGCAGUGGGAAAUAUUGCACAAUGGGGCGAAGCCUGAUGCAGCAACGCCGCGUGCGGGAUGACGGCCUGCGGGUUGUAAACCGCUUUCGCCUGUGACGAGGCGUGAGUGACGGUAAUGGGUAAAGAAGCACCGGCUAACUACGUG